UCGGCCACGGCGCAGGUGCCGCGCAGGUGUCUCCAGGGGCGCGGCCCACGGCGGCACGGGUCCCAGGGGCGCCCGGGGUGCGGCGCCUCGCGGGCUGCACGCGAGAGGCUGGUGGCGAUGAUGAGGCAGACCCCCCUUCCUCCCCUCCCCCCCUCCUCCCCUCCGAGAGGGACGCGCCUUCGGAAGCGCCCUUCUGCCCCUCCGCCUUCACCCUCGCCCGCUACCGGAUCCGCGCCCACCUGCCUCCUCGCCGCCAGCGCCCUCGCCCCCGCCCGCAGACCCUCCCCGCCUCGGCCCGAAGGCGCGGAGCCCGGCGGGACCGCCCUCGCUCUCCGUCUGCGCCGCCAGCCCUCAGUGCCGGCCGGCCCUCGAGGAGAGGCAGGCAAGAGGACAAGUGAGCGUGACACGGCGCGAGGACAAGCUCUUUCCGUAUUGUGCGUCAUAGGAAAUAUCAAGAAGCUAAUAAGAAAAAAAAAAAAAAAAAAAAAAGAGAGAGAAAAACCAGACAUAUUUGGUAAUCAUACCUGCUACUCAAGAAAAAAAAAAAAAAAUACCCUCUGCUGAAAAAGAAAAAAACAAGAAAACAUACAUAAGACUGAAAAAAGUUAAAAAAGAUGAGCGAAGCCUGAGAAACUGAGACAAGUCGACAGCAAGAUCACCAACGCCCUCUGUGACGAAAGGAAGGCGCGUGAUAUGGCGGGAAAAGGGGGGAUACAUGAUUCCUGGUCGUCGAUGGAAAACAUGGAUUCUCGGCCCGAAUGAAAAACAGCAGCACGAAGGAAGACAUGGAAGGAAAGGCCAAGAAAGAGGGAGAAAGCGAAGGAGAAGAGAAAAUGGAUAAUAUUUCUUCGUAUCGG
This is a long non-coding RNA of Penaeus chinensis, 857 nucleotides long. RefSeq lists it as uncharacterized. The transcript has 3 exons. The record is from RefSeq and is a predicted model, not a curated record. Lineage: Eukaryota; Metazoa; Arthropoda; Malacostraca; Decapoda; Penaeidae.